Panicum virgatum (switchgrass) is the source of this 1525-nucleotide long non-coding RNA. RefSeq lists it as uncharacterized. NCBI's taxonomy places the organism in Eukaryota, Viridiplantae, Streptophyta, Magnoliopsida, Poales, Poaceae. The record is from RefSeq and is a predicted model, not a curated record. The transcript is spliced from 2 exons.
AUCACUAUUCCCUUGAUAGUGUGGUUUUAGAUAAAUCUAUUCUCUGAUAAAAUUUGUGGGCAUACGUAAGGUUCUAAGCCUACACCUUUUUUUUUUCUAAACAUUCCUACCUAUCUGUUGCACAACGAAUGGAAGAGCAGCCAAUCCAAGUCUUUACUAGUUCUAUCUAUGCAAUUCUUUAGUUUUAUUUUCAGUUGAGUAUGAAAUCGCUUAUUGCAUAUGCUCAUGAAACAUACUCUGAAGAAGCUGCAUAUCAUGUGUUCGGUGGAAUGCCUAUGAGAGAUGUUCAGGCCCUGCUAUUGUUUUACAAACCUGCAUUUCGUCGGCAAACGCAGCUGCAAGCUCUGCAGGAAACAUGUAUAUUUUUUAUUUCGGUUUGCAAAUCUAUACUUGGAUUUCCUGGGAAUUAUUACUUGCUUAAAUGUUCGUCUCUAUCAGUAGAUGAUACUGGAGAUGUAUAUUCUGUUGUUAAAUUUCACUGACAGGAAAAACCAUCUAAGUGGAUGUUUGAUCAGAACAGCAAAGGAAAAGCUGUAAAAGCCAUCAAAGUGGACGUUUGAUCAGAAUAGCAACACGGAAAAGCCGUGUAAGUAAACCUCUACUGCAUCCUUAGACGGGUUAUUUUCUUUUUUCAAAUCUUUAAUUGUUGAUGUGCAGUUAUUAUUAUUUUGGUUCCCUAGAAGGACCAAUAAUGAUCUCCCUCAUGUUAUGCAAGAUGGUUUCCUAAUGGGAUUGAAGAGGAUGGAAUUGGUUCCUUCUUUAGAAGGCACAAACAAUGGUGUUGCAAGUACUGCAGCCUAUGGGUAGCUAAAUGCCCCUUCAUAAAUAAUAUCAUGAUCUCAUCAACUCAUCAUAAUGAAGAGUAUUUAUCAGGUUUUUCAUUGAUAUGGACUAUCGGAAUAUAACUAGCCGAUUGGAGUCUUGUUAAGUUGGCGAAAUUUGUCCUUCAUAUCACAGAUGGUCAAGCAGAUAAGUUUUCCCCCUCCCAUCUUUUCAUUGCAUUUAAAGCAGGCUGAUAUGAUCUGAUCUAAAACUAAAAGGCACUGCAACAACCUUUUUUCUAAAAAUGGUUGCAGCUGUUAUUGAUAUUAUACUUGGAUUGAAAAAUGAACUACCCUAUAUUAUAAGCCACAUAUAUUCUUUACCAUACAUAUGCAAGACUAUUGUUCAGUGGAGGAAAUGCCCUGUCAGCUCAGCAUUUUUAUAGACACCAUAUGACCAAUAUUCCUUCUCAUAUAUGUGAAUGACCAAUAUUCCUUCUCAGCAUUUUGAUUACUACAUGCAUUGGAAUUGAUGCACUGCUUUGCAAAUUCCUGUCUGCUAAUUCAUUUUUCCAUCCCACUAUCGUUAGUCUAUUCUUCAGUUCCCAUUCAUUUUAUUUUUGCCUCUUGUGUGAGAUGUGUUCUGCAAACUGAUGUCGUCUUUCAUAGGCAAGUUUAGUGUAUUCUUUAGAACUGGCAUAGAUCCUAGAUAUUUUUAAAUGUAGGAUAUUACAACAAUUAUUUGAUUAUUUGACUUACAAUAA